CUCUUUCUCCAUGAAUGUCUCUUUUUUCCAAAAAUUAAAAAUUAUAAAGAAUUCCUUCCUCUAAUACGUCUGGCAAGAGCUCAUACAAAGCAUACACAGAUCCAAAAUUCACGAAAAGAUGCAACACAACUUAAAGAUAAAUAGAAGCAUACCGGUCAGAGCUAACACGGCGGCGACAGACAGAGUGAGGGCAGAGGUUCUGACGACAGCGGUGUGCGUCAGAGCUUUUCCGGUGGUUUCUGUUUCGAUCAACCAUUCUGCUUCUGUUUCAGUUUUGUGGACUUGUUGUUGUUUGUGUACUCCAAGAUAAGAUAAUGGUUUAACAGGUUGAGCUUAAUUUUUUUCCAGGAUGAUUCAAUGUUGUUGCUGUAAUUUAUCGCUGAUAAAAAUUGAUUCCCCC
Molecule: long non-coding RNA, 400 nt
Filed under: Lathyrus oleraceus (garden pea)
Lineage: Eukaryota; Viridiplantae; Streptophyta; Magnoliopsida; Fabales; Fabaceae
Description: Pisum sativum (pea) long non-coding RNA (PSAT_LNC022653)
Source: RNAcentral